AUGGAGGCUGCGGCGGCCACAGCUUUUGCCGGAAGGAUCGCGCCGAAGCUCCUGGAGUUCUUAGCUGCAAAUCACAAGCUUCGGCAGAAUCUGGAGCAUGACAUCACCUACAUCCAAAGAGAGUUUGCGUUGAUUUCUGCCGCCAUUCAGCAAGACGAUGAGUGUCGCUGGAGAAACGGCGCCGUCGGUGACCAUGUGCAGAGGGCCUGGAUCCAAUUCAUACGUGACUUGGCGCACGCCAUUGAGGACUGCAUCGACCGCUUCGGGCACCGGGUGACCAUGUCUGGGACGUCGACGUGGAUCCGUCAGGCUGUCCACAGGUUGCAGACGAUGACAGUCCGCAAGGAGUUUGCCAAGGCAAUCCGCGAGCUCAAGAAGAUAUCACAGCAGUCAUCAAAGCUGAGAGAAACUUACUUCUACGCCAGCAUCAGUGCUGGCACCUCCUCUUCCUCAGUAGCGUCGUCGUCAGUGGCAUGUGACUGUGAGACGACGACACAGAUGGCGAUAGAUGACACCCUCUCAACUGGCAGGCCCUUGGGCAUCGAUGAGCCCAGGGACGAGCUUCUCGAGCUGAUCCAGCAGCAGCAACAGCAGCUCAAGGUUAUCUCCAUUGUUGGUUUCGAUGGUAUAGGCAAGACUCUCCUUGCCAAGCGUGUGUAUGACACAAUUGAGAACAAUUACGAAGCUCGGGCUUGGGUCUCUGCGGCGGAGCAAGGGGUCCCAACAAAUGUUAUCAAGGAGAUACUGCAGCAACUUGGUAUCCCCACCAAUGGUGGAGGUAACCUCAAUAAGCUCUGCACAAUCCUCAGACAAUAUCUUGGGACCAAGAGGUUCUUCAUUGUAAUCGAUGACAUGCGUACAGAAUUUUGGCAUGAUAUAAAAGAUACCUUUAUGGGGUUGAGCGGCAGAGUUCUGGUGACGACAUCCAUUCAGUCAGUAGCAAAUGCCUGCAGCAGCUCAGCCCCUCAUGAUCAUGUGUACGUAAUGAAGACUCUUGCUGAUGAACACUCGAGACUGUUGUUCUUCAAGGAAGCUUUCCAAGAUGACAAUCCGCCAGUAGAUAAGGAGGAUCAACUUGGCUCAGAAGCACUGAAGAAGUGCGAUGGUUUACCCCUUGCUCUUGUUACCACAGCCCGGUACUUGCAAAGCACAGGCAAUCCGACACGUGAAAACUGGGCAACAUUAUGCCACAACCUGGGAGCUCAUCUCCAAACAAAAGAGAUGUUAGCAAGAAUGAAGCGUGUGCUUGUCCACAGCUACACCAGCCUUGUUAAACAUGAUGUCAAGACAUGCUUGCUAUAUCUAGGUAUCUACCCUAGUGGUCGUACAGUAAGGAGAGGAAGCUUGAUAAGGAAAUGGUGCGCUGAAGGGUUUAUCCAAGGAGAUUAUAUGUGUAAUGCUCUGGAUGCUGCUAUUGACAAUUUCAAAGAGUUGGUCAACCGAUGUAUCAUUCGGCGUACAGAUGCCAAUAGGGAAAACAGCGAAGAUCAGCUGAAGACAUACCAUACUCACGGCAUGAUGCUCGAGUUCAUCCUGCACAUGUCCAAGUGUGAUAAUUUCAUUACCUUGUUAUACGAUCAGCUGGCUCCCCCGCCCCCACCCAGCAAAAUCCGUUGGCUCUCCCUCCAUGACGCAAGUGCCAGAGUAGCCAAUGAUCUAUUUCUUGUCCGGUCUCUGACAAUCUUUGGCAGGGCGCAUGAAUCUGUCUUGGAUUUUUCCAAAUAUGAACUGCUGCGAGUUUUGGAUCUAGAAGAAUGCGGUAACCACUUGGAGGACAAGCAUCUUAGGGAGAUAUGCAGUACCAUGUUGCUGCUCAGGUACCUAAGCCUCGGGUCCGCUGUUAUGAUUACAAUGCUUCCCAGAGAGAUCAAAAGGCUUCGACUUUUGGAGACGCUGGAUGUAAGAAAAACCAAGAUAGAGAUUCUGCCCACACAAGUCAUGGAGCUGCCAUGCCUGAUUCAUCUGUUUGGAAAGUUCAAGCUCCAACAAGGUGUAGGAGGUCAGAGAAUGCAUAAGCUACAGACUUGGAUAUCAAAAAAUAGCAAACUGGAAACGGUAGCAGGAUUUGUUGUGGACAAAAACAAGAGCCAGGGAUUUGAACAGCUCAUAGAGCAUAUGAAGCACUUGACAAAGGUGAAAAUAUGGUGCGAGCAGCCUACUAAUCAUUGUACGGAACUCACUGCCAGCGGCAGCGGCAGCAAGAACUACACUCAUCUCUCAAAGGCCAUCAAGGGGUUCGUCAAGAGAAGCACCGACGUGAAAAAAGCUCAUUCACUCUUACUAAAUUUCAAUGACGAAUUGUUCCAAGACUUGCUCUUAAACUUGUCCCUAGAAAAAGAAGAAGCUUCCUCCUGCUAUCUUCGCUCGCUCAAACUACAAGGGGCCAACAUAUGCAGCCUGCCUCCUUUUGUUACCAUGCUGGGUGGCAUCACUAAGCUGUGCCUUUCAUCUCCUCAUCAGCUGAGCGGGGAUAUUCUUGCUGCCCUGAGCAGAGUGCGCUGCUUGGCAUACCUGAAGCUGGUUGCAUCCCGGCUGGACAAACUCGUCAUCAUAAAAGGUGCACUUGGAAGCCUGCGAUCCCUAUGCAUCGUGGUGGAAGUCAUGACUGAGCUGGAAGUCGAAGUUGGAGCUCUGCCGCUCCUCGAGUCGCUCCAGCUGCUAUGUAAGGAUCUAAAUGGCUUUCGUGUCACAGCGAUCCAGGCUCUGCGACGCAUUAAGGAAGUCACCCUCCAUGAUGGAGUGAGCAAUGAAACAAAACAAAAGUGGAAAGAAGCAGCAAAAACCCACCCCAGACGUCCCAAGCUCUUGUUUGUUAAGAUGGCCAAAGAGGUUGAUAUGGGAAGUGAACCUGCUGACAAUUCUACGAGCUCUGUGGAGCCAACUACUCGUAUGACGUUAUCAGUGACAGUUGCCCACGAUGCCAUUUCUAAUGGACAGUCUGGUAAUCAAAUGUUGUGUGUUUUAUUUGUCUUAAUCGCUGGUACGUACUAUUUGUUUAAUUAUUGUGUUAAGUUAAAUAUACUCCCUGUUCACGCAUAUUGUGCAGUAAAAGUUGAUGGUGAUGAUCUGCAACAUGACGAUGAUGAGAAAGAAGAUAUGGAGAACAUUGCUAUGCUAGAUGAUUUUGCUAGCAAAACCUGUCUGGACCCUCUGAUGAACAAGCAAAGUUUUGAACAGCAGAUGGAAGGAGUGGUAGGUUUAGAGGAUCAGCAGAUGGAAGAUGUCACUUGGUCUACUGAUCAGGCUGAUCAAAAUCCUGUGAUUUUAGUGGUGGGUGAGAAUAGAAGAAAGAGGGCUAGAACUCUUGAUGAAGACAAUUCAAUGGACAAGGUUGUAAAUAGGGUGAAGCGCAAGAAUCCAGAGGAUGUCCCAGGUAAUUUACACAUUCCAACUGUCCUAAAUUUAUCCAAUGUUUCUCCUAGUGAUAUAGCUAGUAGAAGUGGGGUCAAGUUUGGAAGUAAUAUUCUUGAGGAAAAUAAAUCUAUUCAAGUGAUUAGAGAUUAA
RNAcentral lists this ribosomal RNA (3504 nucleotides) under Triticum aestivum (bread wheat). RNAcentral's name for it is "partial small subunit ribosomal RNA". The record is from RNAcentral. Lineage: Eukaryota; Viridiplantae; Streptophyta; Magnoliopsida; Poales; Poaceae.